GGAUUAGAUACCCUGGUAGUCCACGCCCUAAACGUUGAUCACUCGAUGUUGGCGAUAUACUGUCAGCGUCCAAGCUAAAGCGUUAAGUGAUCCACCUGGGGAGUACGUCCGCAAGGAUGAAACUCAAAGGAAUUGACGGGGGCCUGCACAAGCGGUGGAGCAUGUGGUUUAAUUCGAUGAUACGCGAGGAACCUUACCAGGGCUUGAAAGUUAGUGACCGGCUGAGAAAUCAGCCCUUCUUUCGAGACACAAAACUAGGUGCUGCAUGGCUGUCGUCAGCUCGUGCCG
This 288-nucleotide ribosomal RNA is filed under the name uncultured bacterium. RNAcentral describes it as "partial 16S ribosomal RNA". It matches the Rfam family "Bacterial small subunit ribosomal RNA", at positions 775 to 1067 of the family's 1533-position model. The record is from RNAcentral.